UACUGUGCGGUGCUGAUCUACAAAGCUACAGCUACACGUAAUUAGCUACAUAUAACUGACUCAUUCGUACAGUCACUCAAGGAGUAUAUAAGAGCCUGAUUUCAGCACUGAAGGCAAGUCAACCCUGGAAGACGCCGCCUCGAGCAUUUCAGAGGAAAGAUGAAGACAGCCGUUGUAGCUAUCACUCUGGUCGCUGUCGCCGUCGUGAUUCAGCCGUCGACAUGCGUUCGGGCUUUUGGCAAAAAAUUUGAACCUCAUUGUAAAGGAAAUCAAACUAUAAAAAGAAAUGUGGGAUCCUGUGAUGAGUGCCGCUGCGACUCUCUCGACGAGCCUGAUGGAUGGCCAAGCAUUUGCACGAUGGAUCUUGUUGUAGUGGGAUGUUUUUGCGACGACGAUCAUUGCAGGACAACUGACAGACGAAGAUGUGUGUCUAGGUCUGACUGCUACUAGAAAGCACAACAGACACCUAGUGCUCUCAUUGGGAGUCUCGCCUAAUAAAAUAUUUGAUGAAAAGUCA
Long non-coding RNA from Rhipicephalus sanguineus (brown dog tick), 517 nucleotides. RefSeq lists it as uncharacterized. The record is from RefSeq and is a predicted model, not a curated record. Lineage: Eukaryota; Metazoa; Arthropoda; Arachnida; Ixodida; Ixodidae. The transcript is spliced from 2 exons.